Molecule: unclassified non-coding RNA, 240 nt
Filed under: soil metagenome
Description: partial contains 5.8S ribosomal RNA, internal transcribed spacer 2, and large subunit ribosomal RNA
Source: RNAcentral
AACACUGUUAACCUGCGGUACCUGCGGAAGGAUCAUUACCGAGUGCGGGUCCUUUGGGCCCAACCUCCCAUCCGUGUCUAUUGUACCCUGUUGCUUCGUCGGGCCCGCCGCUUGUCGGCCGCCGGGGGGGCGCCUCUGCCCCCCGGGCCCGUGCCCGCCGGAGACCCCAACACGAACACUGUCUGAAAGCGUGCAGUCUGAGUUGAUUGAAUGCAAUCAGUUAAAACUUUCAACAAUGGA